CAUGCCCUGGGCUGACUCUCGGUGUCUGAUUGUGUGCGGAGGAGAUCGAACGCGAGAGCGAUCCAACGGUUUCAAGAGACCUUUCGAUCUAUAUAAAUACGGGACCGGCGACGCACACAAACCCUAAUUCCAGAACCAUCCCCUCCGACCUAGGCUAUGGCUUUCAUCGUGUCCAAGCUCGCGCGGGCAGCCCUCGCAUCCCGCCCCGUUGGAGAUAUUGCUGGUGGCAUCUCCCCGUGUCUCUCCCGGCUCUAUCUGGCGGCUAGUACCAGCCGUCGCAUGUUUGCAGCUGCAGGCGGUCCCAAGUCAAAAGAAGCACCCCGAAUAUUUCCCCUUGUUGAUGAGAAUUCCAUUAAGUCGAAGGAAUCCCUAUGGGCCUUGUAUGAAUGCUGGUGCAAGUAUUGGGGGGUAUCCCGUGACCGUGAAGAGAUGGUCCGCCGGUUCAAGUCAUUUGAGGCUACUGCACAGUGGGUUUACAAAAUGAACAACUCUGGGUGUUCGCAAGUGUCUCAACUGGGCCCGCAUGCAGAUAUGUCAGAGAGUGAGUUUGAUCAGGUGUUUCCUCCACUUGAGGAUGAUGAUGAAGACAUAAAAGAGAUGGUGCCAGGUGAAGAUUUGGGCCAGGAGCUUGAGGAGCCCUUAAAUAAUUAAUUUGAGAAAUUAUGAACUUGUCUUACUCCAUCCGUUCCCAAAUAUAAGUCUUUCUAGAGAUUCAACAAGUGACUACAUAUGGAGCAAAAUGAGUGAAUCUGCACUCUAAAAUAUAUCUACAUGCAUACGCAUGUUGUAGUCCAUUUGAAAUGGGUAAACGUUUGGAGCCGGGGCAGUGGCGGAACGCUCGGUUGGUCGCGCGCACAGCGUUGAAUUGUCUCGCGACGAACGCUCCAGUUUACACCACGUCAUCAAGUCAGCCAGCGCACACACACGUGAACAUGGUGGGACCAUGCACCGCUCGUGAGCAACCUUAUCCCCUCCGAUUUCUUUCUCGUUCUCUCCUUUCUCUUCCAGAGUAUGCCUGGGCAGGCCCUUUCCUUCCCCUGCUCCAGAUCAGGGAGCGGCCAUGGCCGGCUCCUACCCCCGCAAAGGCAAAUCGCGGGGGAGGGCCACCACGCGCCAUGUCCUUCCACCCACGUGAGAGGAAACCAUGGCAGGGUGCUCCAUGCUCGCGCAGAUCUUACGAGGAAGGAGGAGACGAUGGAGCGGGGGAGCUGUAGGUGUCGUGCACCGACGGUGCUGCGACAGGGGAAGGGUACACACGCCGGUGAUGGCGUACCCCCACGCGCAACUGGCGAGUGGUGGAGCUGGUCCCUGGCUACGGUGGAGUUGCAAGCGGCAAGGGGCAAAGCUGCAACCGGCAAGCGGCGGAGCUGGAACCGGCCUGAGAAGGAGCUGGAAACAUUGAUUUUUUUGCUGGAAGGUACGGCGUGGGACUGAGCUUCAACACCCAUUUUUUUGCUGGAAGCAGGGAUUUAUUUUGUUGGAAGCAGCAUUUUCUUUUGCUGGAACACUUCUUUCAAAGCUGCGAACAACUUUUUUUUCUGGAAGCAGUGAUUUUUUGUUUUGUUUGAAGCAACAAUUUGUUUUGCUCAAACUAGGCUCUUCAGAGCUACGAUGAUGGAACUACACACUUUUUUGCUGGAAGCGGUGUUUCUUUUAGCUGGAAGCGUCACUUUGGAUUGCUACUGUCGAUGCAUCACGACGAGCGGCAGAGCUUCAUAUCUGCAAUGGGGACAAGAGAAAAGCGACGACAGUUGAGGGAAAAAGCUACAACCAGUGUUUUUUUGCUGUCACCGAUGUGUGGUUUCUUUCACUGGGACGUACGACCUGUGGUGGCGGACGGCCAGCGCCGGCAGCACGGUGAUGCCUCGAGUCAACAGAUUCUUUUCUUACGAUUGACGGCGACGAAGCGUCAGGGAGAGAUUCGACGGCGAGCGUCGGGGGCCAGUGCGGUGACCCGCCGCGACGGGCGAGCGCGCGAGGGUGGGUGCUUCGAGGUCGGUUGUGUGCUCGUUCAUGAAGAGUCCGAGUAGGAAGAACGAGUGGGGGGAGAAACAAGAUCGUUCGGCUAUGAAGCGCUUUUAUCGUGCGGUCCUGGUGUGACCGGCCCAAAGUUGGGCCACACCAGGACCGGCCCAAAGUUGGGCCGGCGCGCCGGCGCCUAUUAGCUCCUUUUGAAAUGUCUAAAAAGACUUAUAUGUAGGAACGGAGGAGUAUUUGGUUGUGGUAAUACUGUGGUACUGGGAUUAUUGUUGUUGUCUGGUGGUUCUCAUGGAACCAAAUUAGAAUUGAAAUAACUUUGUGUUAUUGCUCUAACCACCUUUGCAUUAUGUGCUUGAGAACUUGCAUGAAUAACCUGUGAUGGUUAAGCAGGGAUUGAACCCCUCUGUCGUAUGGUCAUUAGAUAAUCCGAAUAUCAUAGAUGGAUGAUUUUGAA
RNA transcript from Triticum aestivum (bread wheat), 2434 nucleotides. It is a transcript of the gene named cysteine proteinase EP-B 2, with no coding region annotated. The record is from RefSeq and is a predicted model, not a curated record. NCBI's taxonomy places the organism in Eukaryota, Viridiplantae, Streptophyta, Magnoliopsida, Poales, Poaceae. The transcript has 4 exons.